AAAUUGAAGAGUUUGAUCAUGGCUCAGAUUGAACGCUGGCGGCAGGCCUAACACAUGCAAGUCGAGCGGUAGCACAGAGAGCUUGCUCUCGGGUGACGAGCGGCGGACGGGUGAGUAAUGUCUGGGAAACUGCCUGAUGGAGGGGGAUAACUACUGGAAACGGUAGCUAAUACCGCAUAACGUCGCAAGACCAAAGUGGGGGACCUUCGGGCCUCAUGCCAUCAGAUGUGCCCAGAUGGGAUUAGCUAGUAGGUGGGGUAACGGCUCACCUAGGCGACGAUCCCUAGCUGGUCUGAGAGGAUGACCAGCCACACUGGAACUGAGACACGGUCCAGACUCCUACGGGAGGCAGCAGUGGGGAAUAUUGCACAAUGGGCGCAAGCCUGAUGCAGCCAUGCCGCGUGUGUGAAGAAGGCCUUCGGGUUGUAAAGCACUUUCAGCGGGGNUACGGGAGGCAGCAGUGGGGAAUAUUGCACAAUGGGCGCAAGCCUGAUGCAGCCAUGCCGCGUGUGUGAAGAAGGCCUUCGGGUUGUAAAGCACUUUCAGCGGGGAGGAAGGCGUUAAGGUUAAUAACCUUGGCGAUUGACGUUACCCGCAGAAGAAGCACCGGCUAACUCCGUGCCAGCAGCCGCGGUAAUACGGAGGGUGCAAGCGUUAAUCGGAAUUACUGGGCGUAAAGCGCACGCAGGCGGUCUGUCAAGUCGGAUGUGAAAUCCCCGGGCUCAACCUGGGAACUGCAUUCGAAACUGGCAGGCUAGAGUCUUGUAGAGGGGGGUAGAAUUCCAGGUGUAGCGGUGAAAUGCGUAGAGAUCUGGAGGAAUACCGGUGGCGAAGGCGGCCCCCUGGACAAAGACUGACGCUCAGGUGCGAAAGCGUGGGGAGCAAACAGGAUUAGAUACCCUGGUAGUCCACGCCGUAAACGAUGUCGAUUUGGAGGUUGUGCCCUUGAGGCGUGGCUUCCGGAGCUAACGCGUUAAAUCGACCGCCUGGGGAGUACGGCCGCAAGGUUAAAACUCAAAUGAAUUGACGGGGGCCCGCACAAGCGGUGGAGCAUGUGGUUUAAUUCGAUGCAACGCGAAGAACCUUACCUGGUCUUGACAUCCACAGAACUUAGCAGAGAUGCUUUGGUGCCUUCGGGAACUGUGAGACAGGUGCUGCAUGGCUGUCGUCAGCUCGUGUUGUGAAAUGUUGGGUUAAGUCCCGCAACGAGCGCAACCCUUAUCCUUUGUUNUUGGUGCCUUCGGGAACUGUGAGACAGGUGCUGCAUGGCUGUCGUCAGCUCGUGUUGUGAAAUGUUGGGUUAAGUCCCGCAACGAGCGCAACCCUUAUCCUUUGUUGCCAGCGGUCCGGCCGGGAACUCAAAGGAGACUGCCAGUGAUAAACUGGAGGAAGGUGGGGAUGACGUCAAGUCAUCAUGGCCCUUACGACCAGGGCUACACACGUGCUACAAUGGCAUAUACAAAGAGAAGCGACCUCGCGAGAGCAAGCGGACCUCAUAAAGUAUGUCGUAGUCCGGAUUGGAGUCUGCAACUCGACUCCAUGAAGUCGGAAUCGCUAGUAAUCGUAGAUCAGAAUGCUACGGUGAAUACGUUCCCGGGCCUUGUACACACCGCCCGUCACACCAUGGGAGUGGGUUGCAAAAGAAGUAGGUAGCUUAACCUUCGGGAGGGCGCUUACCACUUUGUGAUUCAUGACUGGGGUGAAGUCGUAACAAGGUAACCGUAGGGGAACCUGCGGUUGGAUCACCUCCUUA
Molecule: ribosomal RNA, 1753 nt
Filed under: Klebsiella pneumoniae
Lineage: Bacteria; Pseudomonadati; Pseudomonadota; Gammaproteobacteria; Enterobacterales; Enterobacteriaceae
Description: bacterial SSU rRNA
Rfam family: Bacterial small subunit ribosomal RNA
Source: RNAcentral